UGCUGGGGCAGGGAUGCAUUGCUGGGGCAGGGAUGCGCUGCUGGGGCAGGAGCGCCGUGCCCGCCUCGGGCAGCUCCGUCAGUGCCGCUCUGCGCUCCCACAGGCUCCGUCUGCCCAGGCACCGUCCCAGCCCUUUCACACACAGAACCGCCCUGGCUGGGCUGCUGGGAUGAUGGACCUGUGAGCUGUUCUAUUCCCCAAGAUUUCCUGCUGGGGCAGGUGGGCUGCUGUGCUUCUCCCCCAUCCUCUCCCAGCGAGGCUGGAGAUGCAGUGCCAGUACUUGUGCUCUGUUGGUCGGGUUUAGCCCCAGGAAAGGGAGGCUCUGUCUUUUUGCACGGGACUCCCGUGCCACUGGGAGGCAGGACACACCUCCAGCUGCAGCAGGUCUCGGAAAACAUCCACACACCUGCUGCUGAUGGAUUUUCCAGAACAAAAUGUUGUGGUUUUCUGCUGCAGUACUAUUUACUAUGCAGUUUGUACAGUCCACUGAGAUGGAACACAUCCACCAGCAGCCACACAGAGAUAUUGCUAUGGAGCUUCAAGCAGAGAGCUUUGGACACUGCCAUGACUGUGAGACGCUACCCCACCGUCUCCCCAGCUCCUGCUCCUUCCAGCACAAGGUCCCACUGGGCUGGCAGGAAGCCUCCAAGCUCUGGGCUCCUGGAGGUGCCAGGCAGAACCCAGCCACCAGCCCCUCCUGCUGCAGCACAGCUCAGCAGGGAAGAGGAGAAAGGGCUUGAAAAAUCACCAGCCA
This 754-nucleotide long non-coding RNA is filed under the name Lonchura striata (white-rumped munia). Its description in RNAcentral is "domestica (Bengalese finch) lncRNA (ENSLSDG00000005115.1)". The record is from RNAcentral. Lineage: Eukaryota; Metazoa; Chordata; Aves; Passeriformes; Estrildidae.